RNAcentral lists this unclassified non-coding RNA (483 nucleotides) under Hevea brasiliensis (rubber tree). The record is from RNAcentral. Lineage: Eukaryota; Viridiplantae; Streptophyta; Magnoliopsida; Malpighiales; Euphorbiaceae.
AUCAAAGUUGACAAUGGAGAAUGUCCCUUGGCAUUCUGAUGUGAAGGAAUUCUCUGAAGCCUUGGCUAAAAAGAGCAACGGAGAGUAUGAGGUUGCCUGUGAGCAUGUGCAUUCCUGCUGUGUUCUUCUGGCUAAAGUCGCUAAGUUCAAAAUAGACGGUCAAUGGUUCACGUGGAUAGACUACGAGAAGUUCCAUGAUCUGGUAGCUUCUGGGAAACCCUUUACAAGUAAAGAUUACAUGACACCUACACCAUCUUGGGCUGUCUAUGGAGCUGAGGAAGGUGGUUUUGACCCAGAGCAAUUGCGUUUCAAAAAAGAGCGGCACCACAGAUCAUCUCGUCAGGAAAAUGGUUCUUGAAAUGUUCGAAGCAGGUUUUCGUUACCUCUGGGAUGGCCUAAAAUUUUGUUCCUUCGACUUAGAUUUUGCUUUCCUCCAUUUUCCUAUACAAGUUGCAUUUCACUAUAUAACUGCCGAAGUUGUCA